Molecule: ribosomal RNA, 467 nt
Filed under: uncultured bacterium
Lineage: Bacteria
Description: partial 16S ribosomal RNA
Rfam family: Bacterial small subunit ribosomal RNA
Source: RNAcentral
ACGAACGCUGGCGGCGCGCCUAACACAUGCAAGUCGAACGGAGUCAAGAGGAGCUUGCUUUUCUUGACUUAGUGGCGAACGGGUGAGUAACGCGUGAGUAACCUGCCCUGGAGUGGGGGACAACAGUUGGAAACGACUGCUAAUACCGCAUAAGCCCACGGAUCCGCAUGGAUCUGCGGGAAAAGGAUUUAUUCGCUUCAGGAUGGACUCGCGUCCAAUUAGCUAGUUGGUGAGGUAACGGCCCACCAAGGCGACGAUUGGUAGCCGGACUGAGAGGUUGAACGGCCACAUUGGGACUGAGACACGGCCCAGACUCCUACGGGAGGCAGCAGUGGGGGAUAUUGCACAAUGGGGGAAACCCUGAUGCAGCGACGCCGCGUGGAGGAAGAAGGUUUUCGGAUUGAAAACUCCUGUCGUUAGGGACGAUAAUGACGGUACCUAACAAGAAAGCACCGGCUAACUACGUG